This 437-nucleotide ribosomal RNA is filed under the name uncultured bacterium. RNAcentral's name for it is "partial 16S ribosomal RNA". It matches the Rfam family "Bacterial small subunit ribosomal RNA", at positions 29 to 507 of the family's 1533-position model. The record is from RNAcentral.
AGCGAACGCUGGCGGCAGGCUUAACACAUGCAAGUCGAGCGGGCAUCCUUGUGGUGUCAGCGGCAGACGGGUGAGUAACGCGUGGGAACGUGCCCUUCGGUUCGGAAUAACUCAGGGAAACUUGAGCUAAUACCGGAUACGUGCGAGAGCAGAAAGGUUUAUCUGCCGAAGGAUCGGCCCGCGUCUGAUUAGCUAGUUGGUGAGGUUAUGGCUCACCAAGGCGACGAUCAGUAGCUGGUCUGAGAGGAUGAUCAGCCACACUGGGACUGGGACACGGCCCAGAAUCCUACGGGAGGCAGCAGUGGGGAAUAUUGGACAAUGGGGGCAACCCUGAUCCAGCCAUGCCGCGUGAGUGAUGACGGCCUUAGGGUUGUAAAGCUCUUUUCUCCGGGACGAUAAUGACGGUACCGGAGGAAUAAGCCCCGGCUAACUUCGUG